GAUGAACGCUAGCGACAGGCUUAACACAUGCAAGUCGAGGGGCAGCAUAAAAGUAGCAAUACUUUGGUGGCGACCGGCGCACGGGUGAGUAACGCGUAUGCAACCUACCUAUCAGAGGGGGAUAACCCGGCGAAAGUCGGACUAAUACCGCAUAAAACAGGGGCACCGCAUGGUGAUAUUUGUUAAAAAUUUAUUGCUGAUAGAUGGGCAUGCGUUCCAUUAGGUAGUUGGAGAGGUAACGGCUCACCAAGCCUACGAUGGAUAGGGGAACUGAGAGGUUGGUCCCCCACACUGGUACUGAGACACGGACCAGACUCCUACGGGAGGCAGCAGUGAGGAAUAUUGGUCAAUGGGCGAGAGCCUGAACCAGCCAAGUCGCGUGAAGGAAGAAGGAUCUAUGGUUCGUAAACUUCUUUUGCAGGGGAAUAAAGUGCAGGACGUGUCCUGUUUUGUAUGUACCCUGAGAAUAAGGAUCGGCUAACUCCGUGCCAGCAGCGCGGUAA
Molecule: ribosomal RNA, 503 nt
Filed under: uncultured bacterium
Lineage: Bacteria
Description: bacterial SSU rRNA
Rfam family: Bacterial small subunit ribosomal RNA
Source: RNAcentral